This 222-nucleotide long non-coding RNA is filed under the name Anas platyrhynchos platyrhynchos (common mallard). RNAcentral describes it as "lncRNA (ENSAPLG00000024344.1)". The record is from RNAcentral. Lineage: Eukaryota; Metazoa; Chordata; Aves; Anseriformes; Anatidae.
CACCGCGGGGCAGGGCGGCGGCGGCCCCCCGGGGGGCGGGGGGGCCGGGCUGCUGCCCACCGGGGGACGCCCGCCCGCUGAGAGGGGAAGGCUGGAGAGAGCCCGGCGGCGGAGCCCGGCCCGCGGAGCCCGGCCCCUCCAGGGGCUGAUUUCUUGGACCGCUCAGCACGUGAGGACUCACCAAGCGCACCCUCUGUGAGCUCUCGUAUCUUUUAAGAUCCC